UAGUCCACGCCGUAAACGAUGAUUACUCGUUGUUGGCGAUAUAUAGUCAGCGACUGAGCGAAAGCAUUAAGUAAUCCACCUGGGGAGUACGGCGGCAACGCCGAAACUCAAAGGAAUUGACGGGGGCCCGCACAAGCGGAGGAACAUGUGGUUUAAUUCGAUGAUACGCGAGGAACCUUACCUGGGCUUAAAUGUAGCGUGACCGUCCCUGAAAGGGGAUUUCCAAGCAAUUGGCAGGUUACA
RNAcentral lists this ribosomal RNA (243 nucleotides) under uncultured bacterium. Its description in RNAcentral is "partial 16S ribosomal RNA". It matches the Rfam family "Bacterial small subunit ribosomal RNA", at positions 791 to 1035 of the family's 1533-position model. The record is from RNAcentral.